RNAcentral lists this ribosomal RNA (460 nucleotides) under uncultured bacterium. Its description in RNAcentral is "partial 16S ribosomal RNA". It matches the Rfam family "Bacterial small subunit ribosomal RNA", at positions 338 to 795 of the family's 1533-position model. The record is from RNAcentral.
CCUACGGGAGGCAGCAGUGAGGAAUAUUGGUCAAUGGGCGCGAGCCUGAACCAGCCAAGUAGCGUGAAGGAUGACUGCCCUACGGGUUGUAAACUUCUUUUAUAUGGGAAUAAAAUGUUCCACGUGUGGCUUUUUGUAUGUACUUUAUGAAUAAGGAUCGGCUAACUCCGUGCCAGCAGCCGCGGUAAUAUGGAGGAUCCGAGCGUUAUCCGGAUUUAUUGGGUUUAAAGGGAGUGUAGAUGGAUUGUUAAGUCAGUUGUGAAAGUUUGCGGCUCAACCGUAAAAUUGCAAUUGAAACUGGCAGCCUUGAGUACAGUAGAGGUGGGCGGAAUUCGUGGUGUAGCGGUGAAAUGCUUAGAUAUCACGAAGAACUCCGAUUGCGAAGGCAGCUUACUAAACUGCAACUGACAUUGAUGCUCGAAAGUGUGGGUAUCAAACAGGAUUAGAUACCCGAGUAGUC